RNAcentral lists this small RNA (26 nucleotides) under Bombyx mori (domestic silkworm). RNAcentral describes it as "ovarian small RNA-11744". The record is from RNAcentral. Lineage: Eukaryota; Metazoa; Arthropoda; Insecta; Lepidoptera; Bombycidae.
AGAAAGCUUAUGCAAUGCCGCCAUGC